GUCAUCAGGUUGGAGCUCUCAUGAGUGGGAGCUCUCAUUAAUGGCUUUAUAAAAGAGAUCCUGAAGAGCUCCCUUGUGAGGACACAGCAAGAAGAGAACUACCAGGAAGUGGACUCACCAGACAUAGAAUCUGUCCACACCCUAACCUCAGACUUCCCAGCAUCCAGAACUAUGAGAAAUCAAGGCCAGAUGUUGAUUUAGAGCUGCCAGUUUGCAACUCCUUUCAGAAGACUGAUUACUAUAUAAUAAUGACCAUUUUGUCCCAUGUCUCUUAAGCUCAUCUUCCUUGCUGAAGUUGGCUCUGGACAUCCAUUUGCUGCUGACACUGAUGGGUUCAUUGGGCAUAAUCUAGGUCACAUAUUCCUGGAAAAUGAGCCUGAGUAUAUCUAACCCAAAGAUUUCAGGAAAAAUGUCAUGAGCCUUGAACUUGGUAAAUUCAGGGAAUUUGCCUCUUGUUUAAUAGACUCCAGAACAGUAAUAAUUUUCCGAAUGUUUGGUUUAGUAUUUUGAACCUUUCAAAAAUACCAACAAUAGCCAGUGUAUCAAGACGCUUUAUAGCUUUGCCAGAAUUCCCAUAUAUUUGGUAUUCCAGUGACCCAAGUGAAACUUUUCAGGAUAUUUCUACUUAUGCACAAAAGAACACAGCACAAGCAAAAUCAAAGCUGUCAAACUCAGUAAGUGGUUCUCCAGUAAGCACCAAUUGCCUUGGGAAUCAUCAAACUCUGCACUGACAUAGUGACCAUGAUGUGAUCUUCCACACAGUAGUUUGGGCAUACAACAAACACAGAAGUUCAAGGAAGGGUCACGCUUGGCUGUUUGGGGUUUCAGGAACAAUAGAAGAUUGUCAUUGGUGAUGUAGAGAGUAACACUCCAUGUCACCACACAGCUCAAAUUCGCUCUGCUCAAAUUCCUUCAGGAUGGACUCAAAUUUUCUUCUUUUUAUUGUUUUAUUUGGAGUGUGUGGGAAGCUACUACUUACUAAAAUCCAUGGUGUUGCUUUCUGAUGUUGCUGUUUAGCAGUGGUCCAGGAUAUACCAUAUUCAGAAGGUUUAGUCUUAAAGAAAUUGAGCGUGUAUAUAUAUGUCCUAGGCCUUCCAAUCAUGUCUCCCUGAGGUUGUCUAUUAUUCCCCAUAUGGCAUGGAUGCCACAAAUAACAUUGAUAUUCAUCUACUACAUCCAGAGCUGAAUAAAGCAAUAUUCCAGAAACAAACAAAGCUUCAAUGUAGUGUCCUCAGUAUGCAGUGGCUAGAACCUCAGAAACAAUGACUUAUAGGGUUGUUACUUUAGUGUCUAUCAUAAUAAAAUGAGGACUUGUAGUGAAUCUUCACAGUUAUAAUGCUAGCUUCUUCCUCUGUAAGGGAC
Molecule: long non-coding RNA, 1362 nt
Organism: Felis catus (domestic cat)
Lineage: Eukaryota; Metazoa; Chordata; Mammalia; Carnivora; Felidae
Exons: 3
Source: RefSeq, a predicted model, not a curated record